UAGGGAAUCUUCCACAAUGGACGCAAGUCUGAUGGAGCAACGCCGCGUGAGUGAAGAAGGUCUUCGGAUCGUAAAGCUCUGUUGUUGGUGAAGAAGGAUAGAGGCAGUAACUGGUCUUUAUUUGACGGUAAUCAACCAGAAAGUCACGGCUAACUACGUGCCAGCAGCCGCGGUAAUACGUAGGUGGCAAGCGUUGUCCGGAUUUAUUGGGCGUAAAGCGAGCGCAGGCGGAAUGAUAAGUCUGAUGUGAAAGCCCACGGCUCAACCGUGGAACUGCAUCGGAAACUGUCAUUCUUGAGUGCAGAAGAGGAGAGUGGAACUCCAUGUGUAGCGGUGGAAUGCGUAGAUAUAUGGAAGAACACCAGUGGCGAAGGCGGCUCUCUGGUCUGCAACUGACGCUGAGGCUCGAAAGCAUGGGUAGCGAACAGGAUUAGAUACCCUGGUAGUCCAUGCCGUAAACGAUGAGCGCUAGGUGUUGGGGACUUUCCGGUCCUCAGUGCCGCAGCAAACGCAUUAAGC
This 519-nucleotide ribosomal RNA is filed under the name uncultured bacterium. RNAcentral describes it as "partial 16S ribosomal RNA". It matches the Rfam family "Bacterial small subunit ribosomal RNA", at positions 355 to 865 of the family's 1533-position model. The record is from RNAcentral.